UAGCAUUUCGCUCUUAGAAGUGUGUAUCUCGUGUAUUGUAUUAGUUGAGGUUAAAAGCUUAACUAGCUUAUGUACGUAGUCGAAACUGAAAGGUUGAUCGACCACAAUGGGCCUGAAUAAAGCCCAUGAUGUAAAUUACAGCAGUGAGGAAUAUUGGUCAAUAGCCUAACGGCUGAACCAGCAACUUGGAGGAAUGUAUAGCUAUAGCUAAUUGUAGUAACAAAUGGUUGUUACAAUAUCGAUUAUGUCGAAUAAAGUUCUAGGUAGACUUAUGAUAAUGACAUUGUCUACUUAUGUGUCUUGACCAAAUUACGUGCCAGCAGUCGCGGUAAUACGUAAAAGACUAGUGUUAUUCAUCUUUAUUAGGUUUAAAGGGUACUUAGACGGUAAAUCAAGCCUUAACCGGUACUAAUUUACUAGAGUUACUUGUGAGGGGGCAUAAAAGUACUAAUGGUGUAGAGAUGAAAUUCUAUAAUACCUUUUUUCGAAAGAAAAAGAAUGGCACAAGUAUAGGCGAAAGCAUCCCCUUAUGUGAUAACUGACGUUGAAGGACGAAGGCUUUGUGUCGCGAACAGGAUUAGAUACCCUAGUAGUCAAAGCAGUAAAUGAUGAAUGUCAUAGAUUAGAUAUUUUAAAGUUUAUUCUAUAAACGAAAGUGUAAGCAUUCCACCUCAAGAGUAAUAUGGCAACAUUGGAACUGAAAUCAUUAGACCGUUUCUGAAACCAGUAGUGAAGUAUGUUGUUUAAUUUGAUAAUCCGCAAAAAACCUUACCACAAUUUGAAUAUUUAUACCUUUUCGGUAUACUUACAAGCGUUGCACGGCUGUCUUCAGUUAAUGUCGUGAGAUUU
This 849-nucleotide ribosomal RNA is filed under the name Psilolechia lucida. Its description in RNAcentral is "SSU rRNA". It matches the Rfam family "Bacterial small subunit ribosomal RNA", at positions 208 to 1075 of the family's 1533-position model. The record is from RNAcentral. Lineage: Eukaryota; Fungi; Ascomycota; Lecanoromycetes; Lecanorales; Psilolechiaceae.